GUUUUGUAGUAUUAAACUGUAAACAGAAAGUAUUUAUAAAAAUAGAUAACUAUGAAAAUAAGAGAGCAUACUAGUCAUGGAAAAAGAGGGAUGCAGACAUAGAAAGUUUGGAAACCACUGUCUUUACCUAAUCCAUCUAUUCAGUAGAUUUUCUGAACAGUUCAACUUUCCAGUCAGAAUCAUCAUUGAGAUGUGGACUAAUGAUGAAAUAAAACUUUUCAAUGGACAUACUUCAAAAUGUAAUGAACUUUCUAUUUUGAAAUUUCUAUCUCGUGAUCCACUUGCCAAACAGAUUUUUCUUAGAGAUUAACAGUAACUUUCCAGUAGCUCAUUUUCUUUUAUCUAAGUUGUGAAUAUCUGCAGUCUUCCAGAAUGCUGCUUUUGGAUAUCUUGAACACUUCCA
RNAcentral lists this long non-coding RNA (403 nucleotides) under Androctonus crassicauda. Lineage: Eukaryota; Metazoa; Arthropoda; Arachnida; Scorpiones; Buthidae. The record is from RNAcentral.